AAGCCACAGUGAUUGUAUUCUACCAGCUUCAGAGACGGGAGGGAAAGCAAGCCUGGCAGAGAUGCCCACUCCACUUCCAGUGUACUGAGUGGCUGGCUACUGGAAGACGCUCUGCGCCUGUG
This 122-nucleotide small nucleolar RNA is filed under the name Dasypus novemcinctus (nine-banded armadillo). The record is from RNAcentral. Lineage: Eukaryota; Metazoa; Chordata; Mammalia; Cingulata; Dasypodidae.